Molecule: ribosomal RNA, 425 nt
Filed under: uncultured bacterium
Lineage: Bacteria
Description: bacterial SSU rRNA
Rfam family: Bacterial small subunit ribosomal RNA
Source: RNAcentral
GUGGGGAAUCUUGCGCAAUGGGCGAAAGCCUGACGCAGCCAUGCCGCGUGAAUGAUGAAGGUCUUAGGAUUGUAAAAUUCUUUCACCGGGGACGAUAAUGACGGUACCCGGAGAAGAAGCUCCGGCUAACUUCGUGCCAGCAGCCGCGGUAAUACGAAGGGGGCUAGCGUUGCUCGGAAUUACUGGGCGUAAAGGGCGCGUAGGCGGACAGCUUAGUCAGAGGUGAAAGCCCAGGGCUCAACCUUGGAAUUGCCUUUGAUACUGGCUGUCUUGAGUUUGGGAGAGGUGAGUGGAACUCCGAGUGUAGAGGUGAAAUUCGUAGAUAUUCGGAAGAACACCAGUGGCGAAGGCGACUCACUGGCCCAAUACUGACGCUGAGGCGCGAAAGCGUGGGGAGCAAACAGGAUUAGAUACCCGAGUAGUCC